Long non-coding RNA from Oreochromis aureus, 1928 nucleotides. RefSeq lists it as uncharacterized. Lineage: Eukaryota; Metazoa; Chordata; Actinopteri; Cichliformes; Cichlidae. The transcript has 5 exons. The record is from RefSeq and is a predicted model, not a curated record.
GUUUACCUGACAGCCUGGACAAAUGUGCUGUGUGAAGGAUGUAAAUCAAAUCAGAUCUUAACUGCUUACAUUUAAGGAGCCUGGUCAUAUUUAAUUGUAAUAUGAACCAAUGAUUUUCUGAUUGCUGAUUCCAAGAGAGUCUUUGUGGAAAUCCUGUUUGGCUUUUUGUCAUUUUAAUUCUCUUUUCCGUUUUCCAGAACAGUUCGCCACAGUCGCUGUCCACAUGGGUCAGUGGGACCAAGCAGCACUGUGCUAAUGUGGGACUCUGACCAGCAACAUCCAGCAAGACCCAGGCAGCGUUUUCUAUCUCCCAGCUGGAGUUUUUUUGUUUGUGACGGGAGAGUCAGAUUUUUGUUGAAGCUGGAGGAACAGCCUCACAGUUGCAGAGGUUAAUACACUCUACUGAUCCCUGAUGGGAGAAUCAUCACCUCUGCCAACAAAGAAGCCUGGUGGAUAUUUGUUUACAGUCUGAUGAUGGGACAUCAUGCUCUGCAUCUUCAAAGUUUGUCUCUUGAUUAUUAUUCAUACACAGUAAUGUGAAGUAUGCUUAUAUCUAGUAUAACUGGACCAACCUGGUGCUCUUCAUUUAUGGAGGCUGUUGAGUCUGAAUGUUGGAUGUUGUGUGUCUCGUGUUCUCUGGGCUUUGUUGUCCUCAGUCUGUUUGAAGGAUCAGAAAACAAAACCAGGAUGACCGUAAAUGUUUCUUCUCCAAUUGGAUGAUGAUAAGACUGUGACACGGGAUGCCACCUUUAGUCUUGUGAUGAAGCAAAGCUCAGGAAGAAGUGUGAUUAAAUGGUACCCACAUGUGUGCUGCUGAGAAGGAUGUACAGGGGCACCUGCAGCCAAAUCCAAGCCUCCUCAGCAACUUCAGGUCUGUCAGCGUGCUGAGGUCACAGAAACAAGAAAAGCAGUUUGACUUCAGAGUGUUGUUUACAGUUUUCUGUCAUCAUGAUCUCCCCUGAAGUUUAUCACUAUUAGGCAAGCAAGCAGAGUGGCAGUUUGUGCUCACAGAUGGUGACGGUGUGGAGAGACGGUGGUGUUUCCUCAGAAGAAUUAGCAGAGUCACCAAGGGCACGAGUCCAUCUCACCACCUUGACUUGUUGAUCAGUGGAUACACUUGUCUCCCCUUUAAAGGAGAUACUCUUAGAGAGAGACGAUCAGAGUCAUCCUUAAAUGUUAGUGCUUUCAAAUACACAAACAUUUUUAAAGGACAAAAAUGAACAUCCAACUUUGACUGUAAUACAAUUAAAUCUUUGCAUGUGUGUUUUCAAACUCUCAGAUGGGCAGGAUAUCACUAUUAGACUGUCUAACCUGCCAGAGCAGCACUGAAUGACCACCACACAUGAUCAGUUCCUGCAACAUUCAGCAGCUCUGCUUUUGUGUCAAAUGUCCAACAGCUGGAGAGGAAACUACACCAGUGUACUGGGAUGUUUCACCAACACGUGCCAGAUGCUGUUCCUUCAUGGUGACAUCACCAGAGACGGCCCCGCCCACCUCAUGACCUCGCCAUUGAUCAUGAUGAUUUUAAUGAUGACAGCGAGCGGAACUAAGACUGUAAAAAUCAGAAUGUUUAGAUGCUUUCUAAUUAUUAAUGAAUACUGAGAGCCUCUUUCUGUGUUUUGUCUGUUUUGGGUUUUUUUACCUCAUUUGUUACUAACAAAGUUCACCAAACUCACACAGUUUACAUUCUGUAUGUUUCCAUCUUUACCAGCCACACUCUACCCGCAAUUAAGAAAAUAAUCCUUAGAAAUUGUCGUUUUUCUCUUUUGUAAUUUUGUAAUUCAGUGAAUAUACUGCGCUGCUUCCUUUUAUUGCGUCUCACAUUGCUUUAAGUUUUUCCAGUGUCCAGCUAUUUUUUACUGCUGUUUGAAUUCUGUGUAUGUUUGACCCUGUAGACUGUUUGAUGGACUGCUUGUCUUCCUGUUUGU